UACGAAGGGGGCUAGCGUUGCUCGGAAUCACUGGGCGUAAAGGGUGCGUAGGCGGAUCUUUAAGUCAGGGGUGAAAUCCUGGAGCUCAACUCCAGAACUGCCUUUGAUACUGAGGAUCUCGAGUUCGGGAGAGGUGAGUGGAACUGCGAGUGUAGAGGUGAAAUUCGUAGAUAUUCGCAAGAACACCAGUGGCGAAGGCGGCUCACUGGCCCGGUACUGACGCUGAGGUGCGAAAGCGUGGGGAGCAAACAGG
Molecule: ribosomal RNA, 253 nt
Filed under: uncultured bacterium
Lineage: Bacteria
Description: partial 16S ribosomal RNA
Rfam family: Bacterial small subunit ribosomal RNA
Source: RNAcentral